UGGCGCAUACAAAGAGAAGCGACCUCGCGAGAGCAAGCGGACCUCAUAAAGUGCGUCGUAGUCCGGAUUGGAGUCUGCAACUCGACUCCAUGAAGUCGGAAUCGCUAGUAAUCGUGGAUCAGAAUGCCACGGUGAAUACGUUCCCGGGCCUUGUACACACCGCCCGUCACACCAUGGGAGUGGGUUGCAAAAGAAGUAGGUAGCUUAACCUUCGGGAGGGCGCUUACCACUUUGUGAUUCAUGACUGGGGUGAAGUCGUAACAAGGUAACCGUAGGGGAACCUGCGGUUGGAUC
RNAcentral lists this ribosomal RNA (294 nucleotides) under Shigella flexneri. RNAcentral describes it as "partial 16S ribosomal RNA". It matches the Rfam family "Bacterial small subunit ribosomal RNA", at positions 1231 to 1524 of the family's 1533-position model. Lineage: Bacteria; Pseudomonadati; Pseudomonadota; Gammaproteobacteria; Enterobacterales; Enterobacteriaceae. The record is from RNAcentral.